This 887-nucleotide ribosomal RNA is filed under the name uncultured Staphylococcus sp. Its description in RNAcentral is "bacterial SSU rRNA". It matches the Rfam family "Bacterial small subunit ribosomal RNA", at positions 28 to 896 of the family's 1533-position model. Lineage: Bacteria; Bacillati; Bacillota; Bacilli; Caryophanales; Staphylococcaceae. The record is from RNAcentral.
GAUGAACGCUGGCGGCGUGCCUAAUACAUGCAAGUCGAGCGAACGGACGAGAAGCUUGCUUCUCUGAUGUUAGCGGCGGACGGGUGAGUAACACGUGGAUAACCUACCUAUAAGACUGGGAUAACUUCGGGAAACCGGAGCUAAUACCGGAUAAUAUUUUGAACCGCAUGGUUCAAAAGUGAAAGACGGUCUUGCUGUCACUUAUAGAUGGAUCCGCGCUGCAUUAGCUAGUUGGUAAGGUAACGGCUUACCAAGGCAACGAUGCAUAGCCGACCUGAGAGGGUGAUCGGCCACACUGGAACUGAGACACGGUCCAGACUCCUACGGGAGGCAGCAGUAGGGAAUCUUCCGCAAUGGGCGAAAGCCUGACGGAGCAACGCCGCGUGAGUGAUGAAGGUCUUCGGAUCGUAAAACUCUGUUAUUAGGGAAGAACAUAUGUGUAAGUAACUGUGCACAUCUUGACGGUACCUAAUCAGAAAGCCACGGCUAACUACGUGCCAGCAGCCGCGGUAAUACGUAGGUGGCAAGCGUUAUCCGGAAUUAUUGGGCGUAAAGCGCGCGUAGGCGGUUUUUUAAGUCUGAUGUGAAAGCCCACGGCUCAACCGUGGAGGGUCAUUGGAAACUGGAAAACUUGAGUGCAGAAGAGGAAAGUGGAAUUCCAUGUGUAGCGGUGAAAUGCGCAGAGAUAUGGAGGAACAUCAGUGGCGAAGGCGACUUUCUGGUCUGUAACUGACGCUGAUGUGCGAAAGCGUGGGGAUCAAACAGGGUUAGAUACCCUGGUAGUCCACGCCGUAAACGAUGAGUGCUAAGUGUUAGGGGGUUUCCGCCCCUUAGUGCUGCAGCUAACGCAUUAAGCACUCCGCCUGGGGAGUACGACCGCAAGUUUG